GGAUUAGAUACCCGGGUAGUCCCAGCUGUAAACUAUGCAAACUCAGUGAUGCAUUGGCUUGUGGCCAAUGCAGUGCUGCAGGGAAGCCGUUAAGUUUGCCGCCUGGGAAGUACGUACGCAAGUAUGAAACUUAAAGGAAUUGGCGGGGGAGCACCACAAGGGGUGAAGCCUGCGGUUCAAUUGGAGUCAACGCCG
RNAcentral lists this ribosomal RNA (195 nucleotides) under uncultured Nitrososphaerota archaeon. RNAcentral describes it as "uncultured thaumarchaeote partial 16S ribosomal RNA". It matches the Rfam family "Archaeal small subunit ribosomal RNA", at positions 726 to 920 of the family's 1478-position model. Lineage: Archaea; Thermoproteati; Nitrososphaerota. The record is from RNAcentral.